GGGGUUGUGGCUCAUUGGUAGAGCACUCGCUUAGCAUGUGCGGAGUUCUGGGUUCCAUCCUCAGCACCACA
This 71-nucleotide transfer RNA is filed under the name Marmota monax (woodchuck). RNAcentral's name for it is "tRNA.Ala". The record is from RNAcentral. Lineage: Eukaryota; Metazoa; Chordata; Mammalia; Rodentia; Sciuridae.